AGCAUAUGAUGAAUAGGGCAGAGUGCAAUUAAUUGCAAAAGUUGCAACUGAAAGAGAUAACAAUUUCUCCCAAGUGCAAGUGAACGUGUGUUCGACAGGCCGAAGAAGUGAGUGACGCAAAAUGGCUGCGAGGGAAUCAUCCGGUGGAACGAGAGGUAGCAGCUGAGAAGACUCCACAUCCCAAUCACCGAGCAGCGCCGCCAGUUUUGUUAAGAUGAUUGUGUAGUUUAAGCCAGUGCAUUGUAGUGUUGUUUUGCUGCAUGUGUGUAUAUGCAUACGUGCC
This is a long non-coding RNA of Drosophila mojavensis, 283 nucleotides long. RefSeq lists it as uncharacterized. NCBI's taxonomy places the organism in Eukaryota, Metazoa, Arthropoda, Insecta, Diptera, Drosophilidae. The record is from RefSeq and is a predicted model, not a curated record. The transcript is spliced from 3 exons.